AAUCAACGCUGGCGGCGCGCUUAACACAUGCAAGUCGCACGAGAAAGUGGAGCAAUCCAUGAGUACAGUGGCGUACGGGUGAGUAACACGUGGAUCAUCUACCUCUUAGUGGGGAAUAACCCUGGGAAACCGGGGCUAAUACCGCAUAAGCUCGAGAGAGGAAAGCAGCAAUGCGCUGAGAGAGGAGUCCGCGGCCGAUUAGCUAGUUGGCAGGGUAAACGCCUACCAAGGCAAAGAUCGGUAGCCGGCCUGAGAGGGCACACGGCCACA
This 270-nucleotide ribosomal RNA is filed under the name uncultured bacterium. RNAcentral's name for it is "partial 16S ribosomal RNA". It matches the Rfam family "Bacterial small subunit ribosomal RNA", at positions 32 to 312 of the family's 1533-position model. The record is from RNAcentral.